This 164-nucleotide microRNA precursor is filed under the name Oryza brachyantha (malo sina). RNAcentral's name for it is "MIR812 microRNA precursor family". It matches the Rfam family "MIR812 microRNA precursor family", at positions 27 to 187 of the family's 205-position model. The record is from Rfam by way of RNAcentral. Lineage: Eukaryota; Viridiplantae; Streptophyta; Magnoliopsida; Poales; Poaceae.
UACAAUAUUUUGACUCUUUUUCUUAUUUAAAAAAAUUUUUACGAUUAAUAUUUUUAUUCUUACUAGAUGAUAAAACAUAAAUAAUAUUUUAUACGUGACUAUUUUUUUAAGUUUUUAUAUAAAAUUUUCAAAUAAGACGAAUAGUCAAAAGUUAGACACGGAAA